This 497-nucleotide ribosomal RNA is filed under the name uncultured bacterium. RNAcentral describes it as "partial 16S ribosomal RNA". It matches the Rfam family "Bacterial small subunit ribosomal RNA", at positions 28 to 507 of the family's 1533-position model. The record is from RNAcentral.
GAUGAACGCUGGCGGCGUGCCUAAUACAUGCAAGUCGAGCGAACGGACUAGAAGCUUGCUUCUCUGAUGUUAACGGCGGACGGGUGAGUAACACGUGGAUAACCUACCUAUAAGACUGGGAUAACUUCGGGAAACCGUAGCUAAUACCGGAUAAUAUUCUGAACCGCAUGGUUCAAAAGUGAAAGACGGUCUUGCUGUCACUUAUAGAUGGAUCCGCGCUGCAUUAGCUAGUUGGUAAGGUAACGGCUUACCAGGGCAACGAUGCAUAGCCGACCUGAGAGGGUGAUCGGCCACACUGGAACUGAGACACGGUCCAGACUCCUACGGGAGGCAGCAGUAGGGAAUCUUCCGCAAUGGGCGAAAGCCUGACGGAGCAACGCCGCGUGAGUGAUGAAGGUCUUCGGAUCGUAAAACUCUGUUAUUAGGGAAGAACAUAUGUGUAAGUAACUGUGCACAUCUUGACGGUACCUAAUCAGAAAGCCACGGCUAACUACGUG